GGUCCGGUAGCUCAGUGGAAGAGUGCCUGCCUGUCACGCAGGAGGUCGGCGGUUCAAUUCCGUCCCGGACAG
Molecule: transfer RNA, 72 nt
Filed under: Deinococcus arcticus
Lineage: Bacteria; Thermotogati; Deinococcota; Deinococci; Deinococcales; Deinococcaceae
Description: Deinococcus sp. OD32 tRNA-Asp
Rfam family: tRNA
About the family: Transfer RNA (tRNA) molecules are approximately 80 nucleotides in length. Their secondary structure includes four short double-helical elements and three loops (D, anti-codon, and T loops). Further hydrogen bonds mediate the characteristic L-shaped molecular structure. tRNAs have two regions of fundamental functional importance: the anti-codon, which is responsible for specific mRNA codon recognition, and the 3' end, to which the tRNAs corresponding amino acid is attached (by aminoacyl-tRNA synthetases). tRNAs cope with the degeneracy of the genetic code in two manners: having more than one tRNA (with a specific anti-codon) for a particular amino acid; and 'wobble' base-pairing, i.e. permitting non-standard base-pairing at the 3rd anti-codon position.
Source: RNAcentral